UACGUAGGGCGCGASGUUGUCCGGAAUUAUUGGGCGUAAAGAGCUCGUAGGCGGCUGGUCGCGUCUGUCGUGAAAUCCUCUGGCUUAACUGGGGGCUUGCGGUGGGUACGGGCCGGCUUGAGUGCGGUAGGGGAGACUGGAACUCCUGGUGUAGCGGUGGAAUGCGCAGAUAUCAGGAAGAACACCGGUGGCGAAGGCGGGUCUCUGGGCCGUUACUGACGCUGAGGAGCGAAAGCUUKUGGGGAGCGAACAGGAUUAGAUACCCUGGUAGUCCACGCCGUAAACGUUGGGCACUAGGUGUGGGGGGCCUUUUCCGGGUUUUCCGCGCCGUAGCUAACGCAUUAAGUGCCCCGCCUGGGGAGUACGGCCGCAAGCUAAAACUCAAAGGAAUUGACGGGGGCCCGCACAAGCGGCGGAGCAUGCGGAUUAAUUCGAUGCAACGCGAAGAACCUUACCAAGGCUUGACAUGUGCCGGUCGCUCCGGAGACGGGGUUUCCCUCCUUUGUGGGGCCGGUUCACAGGUGGUGCAUGGUUGUCGUCAGCUCGUGUCGUGAGAUGUUGGGUUAAGUCCCGCAACGAGCGCAACCCUUGUCCCGUGUUGCCAGCACGUUGUGGUGGGGACUCGCGGGAGACUGCCGGGGUCAACUCGGAGGAAGGUGGGGAUGACGUCAAAUCAUCAUGCCCCUUAUGUCUUGGGCUUCACGCAUGCUACAAUGGCCGGUACAGAGGGCUGCGAUACCGUGAGGUGGAGCGAAUCCCUUAAAGCCGSUCUCAGUUCGGAUCGGUGUCUGCAACUCGACACCGUGAAGUUGGAGUCGCUAGUAAUCGCAGAUCAGCAACGCUGCGGUGAAUACGUUCUCGGGCCU
Molecule: ribosomal RNA, 866 nt
Filed under: uncultured bacterium
Lineage: Bacteria
Description: bacterial SSU rRNA
Rfam family: Bacterial small subunit ribosomal RNA
Source: RNAcentral